This is a long non-coding RNA of Mustela erminea (ermine), 1357 nucleotides long. RefSeq lists it as uncharacterized. Lineage: Eukaryota; Metazoa; Chordata; Mammalia; Carnivora; Mustelidae. The record is from RefSeq and is a predicted model, not a curated record. The transcript is spliced from 4 exons.
CACCCACAAUGCUCUGCGCCUUAAAGGGGCCGCGGACACCUCAAGACAGUGGCGGGGGGGCGGUGAAGGGCGCUUAAAAGGGCAACGCGGAACCCUAGACUUCCGCUAUCUACCUCUACCCCAACAUUAUUGCAUAGGGAUGCACGCCGAGGGUCACCCGCAAAUUAGGGGGCAAAUUUGGUGGAGGGUAAGGGAUUCUUCCUGAUUCCUCGUUCUCUUCCACGAUGGAAAUUCUUAGGCUGAUCUUAAUGGGGACACAAUUUCUUCUCACUCUCCCCAACGAUUUCUCCACUUCUUCACAUUCUAUUCAAUUUGAAGGGGCGGGGGGGAGGCGAAGAGGAUCCUCUGGUGAAGCAUAGGUUCUCUCAAAUUUUGUCCCUUAAAUGCUAUCUUCAGACCCGCAACGUCUCUCUUCUGUGCCAAUUUAUGAAGGGUUAUUAAGGGGCGAACCCUCCGUUCCCCAGCACUGGAGGGGGAUGGGCGGGGAGGGCCUGAUCCUUCUCACCGCCCCCAGCCCGCCCGGGGAAGGUGAGGAGGAAGUGGGCCGAGGGGGCGCGGCCGGCCGCUGACUCACAGCGGAGGGGGGGGGUGGGGGUGCAGCGCUGGACCUGGGUGGAGAUGGGACUCCCAGGUUCCCGUGUGAAUAAAGCCCCUAGACCUCUCCCCACGCACGCCCCGCCGUGACUCAGUUUCGCCCGCAGAGGAUGGCGGGAUCAUCCAGCAAUAGGAGGGCGCGGAGGCAGGGGCACCCACCCCAGUGCUGGCUCCUGGGAACCCCCUCCCCCAUGCUGCAGCUUGGGGCUCGGCCCCAGCACCCUCCCAGCCUUCCGCAGCGGGUCCCGCAGGCCCCGCCCCAUGUGACGCCGCUAGUGGCCACUCCCCUCCCGUAGAGCGCCACCUGGCCCGGGUCCGGAGCCCGAGGCUUGGCCUGGAUGCCUGGGAAAUCAUCAGUGCAACGUGCCCAAAUGGGUAAACUGAGGUCUGGAGGUUUGGGUGGAGUGGAUCUCAGCCCCAAGUGCUACGCGUCCCCAUCCAACCCAGCCUGGCCAGUCAGAGCCGGAUGGUGUGACUGGUCAGACAGGAGGUCCGGGGUGGCCAAUGAGAACCAGCUGCAGAACCAGAGCUUCUGCUACUAGGAACCUGAGAUCCUGCCUGCAAAUGAUGUCAGAGAUGAGAAAGUAAAACUAAGAGGUGGUUCCUGAUAACAUCAUUUGACAACUGGAGUAGUCCUGCCUUCGGUCCUUGAAGUCUUCGAUUACAUGACCCAUGACUCCAAGCCCCGCCCCCAGGACCUUGCACAGACACGUGUCCAAUAGCUGCGCGCAGAGAAGCUCCGGGGCCAGGCCUAAGCAGAGGC